RNAcentral lists this ribosomal RNA (313 nucleotides) under Amblyomma antillorum. RNAcentral's name for it is "partial 12S ribosomal RNA". Lineage: Eukaryota; Metazoa; Arthropoda; Arachnida; Ixodida; Ixodidae. The record is from RNAcentral.
GUAUAUAAUUUAUAUGAAAACAAAAAAUUAGGCGGUACUUUAAGCUUUUCAGAGGAAUUUGCUCUUUAAUGGAUAAAACGCCUAAAUCUUACUAAAAUUAGUGAAUUCAGUUUGUAUAUCACUAUAAAAGUAAUAAUUUAUUAUAAUUACUUUAAUUUUUUUAAAAAAAAAUAAAUUAAGUCAAGAUGCAGCAAAAAUUUUAGUAUGAAGUGAAUUACAUUUCUUUUUAGAAAAAGUAAAUAAAAAAUAUUGGUAGGAUUUGAAAGUAAAAAUUCAAUAUUAGGUAUUUUGAAUAAAGUUCUAAAGUAUGUAC